This 218-nucleotide ribosomal RNA is filed under the name uncultured bacterium. Its description in RNAcentral is "partial 16S ribosomal RNA". It matches the Rfam family "Bacterial small subunit ribosomal RNA", at positions 524 to 740 of the family's 1533-position model. The record is from RNAcentral.
UACAGAGGGUGCGAGCGUUGUCCGGAAUCACUGGGCGUAAAGGGCGCGUAGGUGGCGACCCAAGUCGAUGGUGAAAGCUCGCCGCUCAACGGCGAGUCGGCCACCGAUACUGGGUUGCUGGAGCACUGUAGAGGCAGAUGGAAUUCCGGGUGUAGCGGUGGAAUGCGUAGAGAUCCGGAAGAACACCGGUGGCGAAGGCGGUCUGCUGGGCCAGUUGC